Molecule: ribosomal RNA, 132 nt
Filed under: Pimelea sylvestris
Lineage: Eukaryota; Viridiplantae; Streptophyta; Magnoliopsida; Malvales; Thymelaeaceae
Description: partial 5.8S ribosomal RNA
Rfam family: 5.8S ribosomal RNA (bases 1-94)
About the family: 5.8S ribosomal RNA (5.8S rRNA) is a component of the large subunit of the eukaryotic ribosome.
Source: RNAcentral
UGGNGUGAAUUGCAGAAUCCCGUGAACCAUCGAGUCUUUGAACGCAAGUUGCGCCCCAAGCCUUAGGGCCGAGGGCACGUCUGCCUGGGUGUCACGCAUCGUAGCCCCUCCAUCCUUGAUGGUGUUGGGCUG